This 571-nucleotide ribosomal RNA is filed under the name Kosakonia cowanii. RNAcentral's name for it is "bacterial SSU rRNA". It matches the Rfam family "Bacterial small subunit ribosomal RNA", at positions 88 to 655 of the family's 1533-position model. Lineage: Bacteria; Pseudomonadati; Pseudomonadota; Gammaproteobacteria; Enterobacterales; Enterobacteriaceae. The record is from RNAcentral.
CUGACGAGUGGCGGACGGGUGAGUAAUGUCUGGGAAACUGCCUGAUGGAGGGGGAUAACUACUGGAAACGGUAGCUAAUACCGCAUAACGUCGCAAGACCAAAGAGGGGGACCUUCGGGCCUCUUGCCAUCAGAUGUGCCCAGAUGGGAUUAGCUAGUAGGUGGGGUAACGGCUCACCUAGGCGACGAUCCCUAGCUGGUCUGAGAGGAUGACCAGCCACACUGGAACUGAGACACGGUCCAGACUCCUACGGGAGGCAGCAGUGGGGAAUAUUGCACAAUGGGCGCAAGCCUGAUGCAGCCAUGCCGCGUGUAUGAAGAAGGCCUUCGGGUUGUAAAGUACUUUCAGCGGGGAGGAAGGCGAUGUGGUUAAUAACCACGUCGAUUGACGUUACCCGCAGAAGAAGCACCGGCUAACUCCGUGCCAGCAGCCGCGGUAAUACGGAGGGUGCAAGCGUUAAUCGGAAUUACUGGGCGUAAAGCGCACGCAGGCGGUCUGUCAAGUCGGAUGUGAAAUCCCCGGGCUCAACCUGGGAACUGCAUCCGAAACUGGCAGGCUUGAGUCUCGUAGA